Molecule: long non-coding RNA, 3121 nt
Organism: Mytilus californianus (California mussel)
Lineage: Eukaryota; Metazoa; Mollusca; Bivalvia; Mytilida; Mytilidae
Exons: 2
Source: RefSeq, a predicted model, not a curated record
AGUAUGAUCUACAAAUAAGUUAACUUGACCAAAAUGGUCAGUUGACCCCUUAAGGAGUUAUUGCCCUUUAUAGUCAAUUUUUAACCAUUUUUCGUAAAUUUUUGUAAUCUUUUACAAAAAUCUUCUCCUCUGAAACUACUUAGACAAAUUUAACCAAAAUUGUCCACAAUCAUCAUUAGGGUAUCUAGUUUAAAAAAUGUGUCCGAUGAUCCUGCCCGCAAACCAAGAUGGCCGACAUGGCAAAAAAAUAAUACAUAGGGUAAAAUGCAGUUUUUGGCUCAUAUCUCUGAAACCAAAGCAUUUAGAGCAAAUCUGAUGGUAUAAAAUUGUUCAUUAGGUCAAGAUCUAUCUGCCCUGAAAUUUUCAGACCAAUCAGGCAACAUGUUGUUGGGUUGCUGCCCCUGAAUUGGUAAUUUUAAGAAAAUUUUGCAGCUUUUGGUUAUUAUCUUGAAUAUUAUUAUAGAUAGAGAUAAACUGUAAACAGCAAUAAUGUACAGCAAAGUUAGAUCUACAAAUAAGUCAACAUGACCAAAAUUGUCAAUUGACCCCCUAAGGAGUUAUUGCCCUUUAUAGUCAAUUUUUUACAAUUUUCAUAAAUUUUGUAAAUUUUUGUAAAUUUUUACAAAAUAUUUUCCACUGUAACUACUGGGCCAAGUUCAUUAUAGAUAGAGAUAAUAGUAAGGAGCAAGAAUGUUCAGUAAAGUAAGAUCUACAAACACAUCACCAUCACCAAAACACAAUUUUGUCAUGAAUCCAUCUGUGUCCAUUGUUUAAUAUGCACAUAGACCAAGGUGAGCGACACAGGCUCUUUAGAGCCUCUAGUUUCUUCGUGCUUGAAGAUAUUGAUUUGAUAUUUGGUAUAUAGUUUAACCAUGACCAGUUACAGAUCAAGUUCGAAUUUUGUUCCAGUCCAAUGAUGUUGUGACGGGUUGUGGUUCUUGGACUUUGAAGAUUCAUGCAAGUAAUCAGUUUUCUGCACUUUUUUUCGUCAUGCUUGAAGAUUUUGAUUUGAUAUUUGGUAUAUAGUUUUAUCAUGAUGAGUUACAGAUCAAGUUCUAAUUUUGUUCUGGUCUGAUAAUUUUGUGCAGAGUUAUGGUCCUCGGACUAGAAAAACUCGCGCAAAUAAUCAGUUUUCCACACUUUUUUUCGUCAUGCUAUAAGAUAUUGAUUUGAUAUUUGUUUAUAGUUUACACCAUGAGAACUUAUAGUUCAAGUUAGCAUUUUGUUCCAGUACAAUGAAUUUUUAACCGGUAGGGGACUAUGUAUUGCCAUGCAAUACUCUCAGAAUGCUUGUUGUUGAUUAAUGUAGUCAUUGUUGAUUGCUGUAAGUAUUGUUUUACUUGAAUUUGAAUCCUGUUGCUUUUGUAGUGAGCCUUUCAUAUAAAACAACCAUUGUUGUAUUAUAUACCAUGGUAUUAGUUUUACUACAUUUUUAUUUCUGUCAGUUUGGAUUAGUACUCAUUAGAGCAGUAUCACCCAUUGAAUUAUUAUUACAGUUCCCUCUGAUUCUUCAACAUUUUUGUCCUUAAUUUUUCAUCUCUUAUUUUAUUAAUUGUACUUUAAAAAAAAUAAAUGUAAAAACAAGUUUGGUUUAAGCGCAACUAUAAUUUGUACUUCAUGAGUCAAUAUCUUGUUUACAAUUUUGAUAUGAAUUUUAUGGUUUUAAUUUUUUCUUUAGAAAGAGAAUGUAAAACUAGAAAUCUAGAAAGUAGGAUCUUAACUGAUACCUUUUAAAAUUACACCAAUAAAUAUAUUGCAUUCAAUUUUUAGUAUUAAAGAUUCAAGCAUGCAUAUUUAUCCUAAGGAGGAUAAACCUAUUUUGUAGACCCUCAAUAAAAUUCUAUAAGGUAAUUAUAGGAUAUCAAAUUGUUUGCUUGAGAUUUUUCUUUAUUGUUAAUCAUGAGAGAUUUUUCUUUAUUGUUAAACAUGAGAGAUUUCUCUUAUUGUUAAACAUGAGAGGUUUUUCUUUAUUGUUAAACAUGAGAGGUUUUUCUUUAGUGUUAAACAUGAGAGAUUUUUCUUUAGUGUUAAACAUGAGAGAUUUUUCUUUAGUGUUAAACAUAAGUGAUUUUUCUUUAUUGUAAAAAUUGAAAGAUUUUUCUUUAGUGUUAAACAUGAGAGAUUUUUCUUUGUAAAAUAAAAAAAAAACUAGUGAAUUUUUUUUGAGAAAUGGGUUGUAGUUGGGCAAAUAGUUGACAGCAAUUCAGUAUGCCUGUAAGAAAACAAAACAAUCUUUUCAGUUGCUGGAAAAAAGAAUUGCUUUUAAUUUAUUUCUGAAAUGUAAACAGUUAUCUAUUAUCUAUUAAUUCACUGACCUUUUAAUUUUCAAGGCUAGAUAGCCAUUUUCUAGGCAGUUGUUCAAACCAAUAUGGCAACAUAGAAUUAUAAUUUUAAUAAAAAUCAAUUCACCAUAAUGGCUGCCUUUUUUAAAUUAUGAAAAUGUCGCUGUUUUUAUAUAAUCUGCUUUUCACAAAGUCAAAUAUGAAAAAUAUGUACAAAAAAUUGUUCAUUGUCAAAGAUCAUCCAGUUAUAUUUUUGGAGAUGAUUUUAAAUGAUUUUUACAGUGUAUAUGGCUUGAUAAUGUCAAUUUUAUUUGUAAAAAUCUAUUCUAUGUGUCUUUAGAAAAUCUUAUGGUUCACUUCAUAAGUUUCAGUUGGGGAUUCAAGGGGGAAGAAGAGAACAAUACCCCCCCCCCCCCUUUCUUUAAAUCCUGGAUCUGCCUUGAGUAUUAUAUUUAUUUAUAAUAGUUGUAUGAUAAUCAUUAUAUACAUUAGAGUUCUGUAAAAAGGAAAUAAAAUUUGCUGGAAUAAAGACAUAUUCUCCUGAUUAGAAUAUAACAUUGUAGCAUCUUAGAAAUGCAAUUGAUAUUUUUAAAAAUGAAGGAUUACAUUUUCUAGCAUGUUUAUAGUAAUCUAUUGUCCUCAAGCAGAUCUUUUAUAAUGUAAAAAACACAAAAUGUUCAUCUAUCAAUAAGUUAUAUUUAUUAAAUGCUUGCAGUCUGAUUGGUUAAUAGGCAAUCAUGUGACAUAACAAUUAAUUCUUCAUAUCUUGAUGUAUUUCAUGUAAAAUAAGCAUUCAAAAUUUUCAGACUGGCAUUAUUAAAUAAAAUUAAAAGAAUUUG